This 73-nucleotide transfer RNA is filed under the name Amphipholis squamata. RNAcentral's name for it is "transfer RNA-Lys". Lineage: Eukaryota; Metazoa; Echinodermata; Ophiuroidea; Amphilepidida; Amphiuridae. The record is from RNAcentral.
ACUUAAUUAGCUUAAUAAAAAGCCCUCGGCUCUUAACCGGGGAGAUAGUAGAAUAAAAUAAUACUAUUAAGUU